This 74-nucleotide transfer RNA is filed under the name Actinomycetota bacterium. RNAcentral describes it as "Actinobacteria bacterium (freshwater metagenome) tRNA-Gln". It matches the Rfam family "tRNA". Rfam says of the family: Transfer RNA (tRNA) molecules are approximately 80 nucleotides in length. The record is from RNAcentral. Lineage: Bacteria; Bacillati; Actinomycetota.
UGGGGAGUCGUCUAGCGGUAGGACAUGCGGCUCUGGCCCGUAGAGCAGGGGUUCGAAUCCUCUCUCCCCAGCCA